AGUGAACGCUGGCGGUAGGCCUAACACAUGCAAGUCGAACGGCAGCACAGUAAGAGCUUGCUCUUACGGGUGGCGAGUGGCGGACGGGUGAGGAAUACAUCGGAAUCUACUUUUUCGUGGGGGAUAACGUAGGGAAACUUACGCUAAUACCGCAUACGACCUACGGGUGAAAGCAGGGGAUCUUCGGACCUUGCGCGAUUGAAUGAGCCGAUGUCGGAUUAGCUAGUUGGCGGGGUAAAGGCCCACCAAGGCGACGAUCCGUAGCUGGUCUGAGAGGAUGAUCAGCCACAGUGGAAGUGAGACACGGUCCAGACUCCUACGGGAGGCAGCAGUGGGGAAUAUAGGAAACUGGGCGCAAGCCUGAUCCAGCCAUACCGCGUGGGUGAAGAAGGCCUGCGGGUUGUAAAGCCGUUUUGUUGGGAAAGAAAAGCAGCAGGUUAAUACCCCGCUGUUCUGACGGUACCCAAAGAAUAAGCACCGGCUAACUUCGG
This 491-nucleotide ribosomal RNA is filed under the name uncultured bacterium. Its description in RNAcentral is "partial 16S ribosomal RNA". It matches the Rfam family "Bacterial small subunit ribosomal RNA", at positions 29 to 506 of the family's 1533-position model. The record is from RNAcentral.